Molecule: ribosomal RNA, 448 nt
Filed under: uncultured bacterium
Lineage: Bacteria
Description: partial 16S ribosomal RNA
Rfam family: Bacterial small subunit ribosomal RNA
Source: RNAcentral
GCCCAGACUCCUACGGGAGGCAGCAGUGGGGAAUAUUGCACAAUGGGGGAAACCCUGAUGCAGCGACGCCGCGUGAAGGAAGAAGUAUUUCGGUAUGUAAACUUCUAUCAGCAGGGAAGAAAAUGACGGUACCUGACUAAGAAGCCCCGGCUAACUACGUGCCAGCAGCCGCGGUAAUACGUAGGGGGCAAGCGUUAUCCGGAUUUACUGGGUGUAAAGGGAGCGUAGGCGGUUUAGCAAGUCAGAAGUGAAAGCCCGGGGCUCAACUCCGGGACUGCUCUUGGAACUGCGUGGCUGGAGUGCAGGAGGGGCAGGCGGAAUUCCUGGUGUAGCGGUGAAAUGCGUAGAUAUCAGGAGGAACACCGGUGGCGAAGGCGGCCUGCUGGACUGCAACUGACGUUGGGGCCCGAAAGCGUGGGGAGCAAACAGGAUUAGAUACCCGAGUAAC